GACGAACGCUGGCGGCGUGCUUAACACAUGCAAGUCGAACGGAAAGGCCCCUUUGGGGGUACUCGAGUGGCGAACGGGUGCGUAACACGUGAGUAACCUGCCCUUGACUUCGGGAUAACUUCAGGAAACUGGGGCUAAUACCGGAUAGGAAUCCUUGCUGCAUGGUGGGGGUUGGAAAGCUUCGGCGGUUUUGGAUGGACUCGCGGCUUAUCAGCUUGUUGGUGGGGUAGUGGCUUACCAAGGCUUUGACGGGUAGCCGGCCUGAGAGGGCGACCGGCCACAUUGGGACUGAGAUACGGCCCAGACUCCUACGGGAGGCAGCAGUGGGGAAUAUUGCACAAUGUGCGGAAGCCUGAUGCAGCAACGCCGCGUGCGGGAUGACGGCCUUCGGGUUGUAAACCGCUUUCAGCAGGGGCGAAGCUUGUGGUGACGGUACCUGCAGAAGAAGCACCGGCUAACUACGUG
Molecule: ribosomal RNA, 465 nt
Filed under: uncultured bacterium
Lineage: Bacteria
Description: partial 16S ribosomal RNA
Rfam family: Bacterial small subunit ribosomal RNA
Source: RNAcentral